UCCGGUUUGGCACCGGCAGUCUUCCUAGAGUCCCCGCCAUUACGCGCUGGCAACUAAGAACAGGGGUUGCGCUCGUUGCGGGACUUAACCCAACAUCUCACGACACUAGCUGACGACAACCAUGCACCACCUGUACACCGACCUUGCGGGGAGCACAUCUCUGCACUUUUCCGGUGUAUGUCAAGGCCAGGUAAGGUUCUUCGCGUUGCAUCGAAUUGAGCCACAUACUCCACCGCUUGUGCAGGCCCCCGUCAAUUUCUUUGAGUUUUAAUCUUGCGACCGUACUUCCCAGGCGGCUUAUUUAACGCGUUAGCUACGCCACAAAAGGGGUCGAUACCUCCCACAUCUAAUGAGCAUCGUUUAGGGCUAGGACUAC
This 376-nucleotide unclassified non-coding RNA is filed under the name uncultured bacterium. Its description in RNAcentral is "contains 16S-23S intergenic spacer region". The record is from RNAcentral.